This 496-nucleotide ribosomal RNA is filed under the name uncultured bacterium. RNAcentral's name for it is "bacterial SSU rRNA". It matches the Rfam family "Bacterial small subunit ribosomal RNA", at positions 903 to 1397 of the family's 1533-position model. The record is from RNAcentral.
AAAGGAAUAGACGGGGGCCCGCACAAGCAGCGGAGCAUGUGGUUUAAUUCGAAGCAACGCGAAGAACCUUACCAGGGCUUGACAUCCCUCUGAAAGGUAUAGAGAUAUACCGGACCUUAGGGACAGAGGAGACAGGUGGUGCAUGGUUGUCGUCAGCUCGUGUCGUGAGAUGUUGGGUUAAGUCCCGCAACGAGCGCAACCCUUAUCUUUAGUUGCCAGCAGGUAGAGCUGGGCACUCUAGAGAGACUGCCGGGGACAACUCGGAGGAAGGUGGGGAUGACGUCAAAUCAUCAUGCCCCUUAUGUCCUGGGCUACACACGUGCUACAAUGGUCUGAAACAAAGGGAAGCGAAGCCGCAAGGUGGAGCAAAACCCAGAAACCAGAUCCCAGUUCGGAUUGUGGGCUGCAACCCGCCCACAUGAAGUCGGAGUUGCUAGUAAUCGCGAAUCAGCAUGUCGCGGUGAAUGCGUUCCCGGGCCUUGUACACACCGCCCGU